AAAAAGACAAACCCUGAGUUUCCGUGUCCAACGUUUGGCUGUCCAUCUUAUAUGAAAUUUUUUUUAUAAUUAGUAUUUUCAUUGUUGUUAGAUGAUAAAACAUGAUUAAUACUUUAUACGUGACUUGUUUUUUUAAUUUUUUUCAUAAUUUUUUCAAAUAAGACGGACGGUCAAACGUUGGACACGGAAACCUAGUGUUUGUCUUUCU
This is a microRNA precursor of Oryza sativa Japonica Group (Japanese rice), 208 nucleotides long. It matches the Rfam family "MIR812 microRNA precursor family". The record is from Rfam. NCBI's taxonomy places the organism in Eukaryota, Viridiplantae, Streptophyta, Magnoliopsida, Poales, Poaceae.